AUUGAACGCUGGCGGCAGGCCUAACACAUGCAAGUCGAGCGGAUGAAGGGAGCUUGCUCCUGGAUUCAGCGGCGGACGGGUGAGUAAUGCCUAGGAAUCUGCCUGGUAGUGGGGGAUAACGUCCGGAAACGGGCGCUAAUACCGCAUACGUCCUGAGGGAGAAAGUGGGGGAUCUUCGGACCUCACGCUAUCAGAUGAGCCUAGGUCGGAUUAGCUAGUUGGUGGGGUAAAGGCCUACCAAGGCGACGAUCCGUAACUGGUCUGAGAGGAUGAUCAGUCACACUGGAACUGCGACACGGUCCAGACUCCUACGGGAGGCAGCAGUGGGGAAUAUUGGACAAUGGGCGAAAGCCUGAUCCAGCCAUGCCGCGUGUGUGAAGAAGGUCUUCGGAUUGUAAAGCACUUUAAGUUGGGAGGAAGGGCAGUAAGUCAAUACCUUGCUGUUUUGACGGUACCAACAGAAUAAGCACCGGCUAACUUCGUG
This 484-nucleotide ribosomal RNA is filed under the name uncultured bacterium. RNAcentral describes it as "partial 16S ribosomal RNA". It matches the Rfam family "Bacterial small subunit ribosomal RNA", at positions 30 to 507 of the family's 1533-position model. The record is from RNAcentral.